GCAAGUCGACGAGUUCUCGUUGAUGAUCGGUGCUUGCACCGAGAUUCAACAUGGCACGAGUGGCGGACGGGUGAGUAACACGUGGGUAACCUGCCCUUAAGUGGGGGAUAACAUUUGGAAACAGAUGCUAAUACCGCAUAGAUCCAAGAACCGCAUGGUUCUUGGCUGAAAGAUGGCGUAAGCUAUCGCUUUUGGAUGGACCCGCGGCGUAUUAGCUAGUUGGUGAGGUAAUGGCUCACCAAGGCGAUGAUACGUAGCCGAACUGAGAGGUUGAUCGGCCACAUUGGGACUGAGACACGGCCCAAACUCCUACGGGAGGCAGCAGUAGGGAAUCUUCCACAAUGGACGCAAGUCUGAUGGAGCAACGCCGCGUGAGUGAAGAAGGCUUUCGGGUCGUAAAACUCUGUUGUUGGAGAAGAAUGGUCGGCAGAGUAACUGUUGUCGGCGUGACGGUAUCCAACCAGAAAGCCACGGCUAACUACGUGCCAGCAGCCGCGGUAAUACGUAGGUGGCAAGCGUUAUCCGGAUUUAUUGGGCGUAAAGCGAGCGCAGGCGGUUUUUUAAGUCUGAUGUGAAAGCCCUCGGCUUAACCGAGGAAGCGCAUCGGAAACUGGGAAACUUGAGUGCAGAAGAGGACAGUGGAACUCCAUGUGUAGCGGUGAAAUGCGUAGAUAUAUGGAAGAACACCAGUGGCGAAGGCGGCUGUCUGGUCUGUAACUGACGCUGAGGCUCGAAAGCAUGGGUAGCGAACAGGAUUAGAUACCCUGGUAGUCCAUGCCGUAAACGAUGAAUGCUAGGUGUUGGAGGGUUUCCGCCCUUCA
RNAcentral lists this ribosomal RNA (821 nucleotides) under uncultured bacterium. Its description in RNAcentral is "bacterial SSU rRNA". It matches the Rfam family "Bacterial small subunit ribosomal RNA", at positions 57 to 842 of the family's 1533-position model. The record is from RNAcentral.